This is a long non-coding RNA of Phyllostomus discolor (pale spear-nosed bat), 102 nucleotides long. RefSeq lists it as uncharacterized. The record is from RefSeq and is a predicted model, not a curated record. The transcript has 3 exons. NCBI's taxonomy places the organism in Eukaryota, Metazoa, Chordata, Mammalia, Chiroptera, Phyllostomidae.
GGAUUUGAGACAAAAUCCUGGCUCAGCUUGAAAAGAUUAUAACCCUGGUGAACCAAGGAAUAAAGGAAACAAGGGUGCACAUGUAUGUAUGUAUACUUUUAA